CACAAGUUCAUUAUAAUUCAGACUACUACGUAAACGGUUAUUUUCUUUGAUCUUCCCGAAUCUGAGUUUACCGGCUUCCCUAUUCCAAGGGAUAGCAGUAGGUGAGUAGGAGCUACGUAGUGUUUGGGUAGCUAAACAAAUCAAGACGUGUCUCCGUGGCUACGACGCCAAGUACCGCGGCGGCCGGCAUCGGUCUCCCGAACGAGCAUGUUGCGGUGCGCGGUCUCCCGCAACGGCCGGCAGCCAAAGACGCGGCACGGCCUCCUGCAGCGGAGGUGACGGCGAGUACCACGCGAGUGCGGCUUCCCGACCUAUCGGCGCAGCACCAACCAGCGAGGCACCCUCGGCGGGACUCCAGCUCUCGGAGCCUACUACCGGUACACCGCCCGAGCAGCGACACGCGGCUCCUAAGUCUGGCUACCUCCCGCGGCGGCCCCACGCAGCCCGCGUCUCCCACAGCGGAGACGGACCCGACACCUGGCGCGACGGCGCGCGGACUCCCGUAACGGUACGGCCCGUGGCCGGCAACCGGCGACGCCGGCGGAGGCCCACGUCCGACCCUCGUCGGCCCGGCUUCCAAAGGCGGCGAGGCGAUCCUCGGACCGGCUCCGUCGCAACAGGCCCGGUACCCAGCGGCGGCUUCAAACGGAACCUGCCGUACGUUUGCUGCGGGACCUCCAAUCACGAAUGAAGCACGUCCUUGCUUUAACCUUAACUUAGUGGACUAACUACAUAGUUAGUUCUAUGUCUCAACCAGAAACCUACUAACAGCAAAACAUGCUCUACACAAUGUCCCUAGAACAUACAAAGGAAGACUAGGGGAGGGGCAAGAAUGGAAAGAGAGACCUAAAACACGAAAGUAGAGUAAACGUAAACCAAAGAAGGGUCUAACUCUCUAAGCGGCGCGGACCCGGCACUUGCGGAGCCCGACUACGCCCUCCAGCUCCGGUGCGCUGGUGCGCGGCCGACCUCUGAACGCGGCGGCACGGCAAGACGUCGCACUCCGCACGUGCGUAGUGCGCGGCCACCCGAACCUGACAGCGGUCAAGGCGCAACGAGCGUCCGCUCGGCAAGCACUUUGGCGAGGCGGCCCCUGUUGCGCUACGCAGUUUCUCCAGACCCGAGCGUGAGCAAGCCGACAGAGAGCCGGUAGUUCCUGUAGCGGCCACUGCCUAACUAUCACACGCCCGCGGCGGCCGCGACGGUCAAACAAAUCACCGGAUUAGCGAACGAGCCCAAUCCCGUUUCCCGACUAUUGCACAACUUACAUUUUCACUAACUUACUUCCUUUCCGAGGACUAAAGUAACUAAGAGUUCUAU
This 1320-nucleotide ribosomal RNA is filed under the name Triticum aestivum (bread wheat). RNAcentral's name for it is "partial small subunit ribosomal RNA". The record is from RNAcentral. Lineage: Eukaryota; Viridiplantae; Streptophyta; Magnoliopsida; Poales; Poaceae.